This 291-nucleotide ribosomal RNA is filed under the name Triticum aestivum (bread wheat). RNAcentral's name for it is "partial small subunit ribosomal RNA". Lineage: Eukaryota; Viridiplantae; Streptophyta; Magnoliopsida; Poales; Poaceae. The record is from RNAcentral.
AUGGGGUCUCGGCAGGACCAGCCCGCCGUCAACGGGGAGCAAGGUAAUGGCGCGGGGGCAGCCUAUGUGCGGUACAGGGAGUGCCAGCGCAACCAUGCCAUCGGAAUCGGCCGGUAUGCCGUCGACGGCUGCCAAGAGUUCACGGUGUUAAUGGGCGUCGACGAGGCUGCCAUGCUCCUCUGUGCGGCAUGUGGCUGCCACCGCAACUUCCACAGGCGCGAGGUCGUCAACGAGUUCGGCGCCGACUACCAUGCUCCUCGGACGCCCCCCGCCAACGAAAAUCGCCAUUGA